ACAUGAUUAUGAGGGAGUGUUGGCACGCUGUUCCUUCACAAAGACCCACGUUCAGACAGCUGGUGGAGGAUCACGACAGGGUUCUUUCCAUGACCUCCACUGACGAGUAUCUGGACCUAUCGGUGUCGUUCGAGCAGUACUCCCCUACCUGCCCAGACUCCAACAGCACCUGUUCCUCCGGCGACGACUCUGUGUUUGCUCACGACCCCUUACCUGACGAGCCCUGCCUCCCUAAACAUCACCUCCACAGCAAUGGGGUCAUACGAACAUAAGGGCCCAGGACAGAAAUGGUGGUUUGUGGGGACCUUCCGGUUCACUGCACUGGACCAGCAUGUGGCGGCAGUGCAGACGGGCUCCUGGUACAGUGUGGAUGUCAUGAAACGCUCAACGAGAAGCUUCAGACUUCAAACUGUUCACUGGUCUGAAGGACGGAUUACGCCCCUCUCCUUCAGCUCCUUUUCUUCCAAAUUAUUAUUCAGAUUUUUGUCUUUGAAAAGAGAAUUCCUAUUUUUGUAUUAGGCCAGUUUCGUUUUUCCUUUGCGCGACACAGUAAGAAGGGUCAAACCAUUCCGUGCCUACCAAAAA
Molecule: long non-coding RNA, 585 nt
Organism: Sinocyclocheilus anshuiensis
Lineage: Eukaryota; Metazoa; Chordata; Actinopteri; Cypriniformes; Cyprinidae
Exons: 2
Source: RefSeq, a predicted model, not a curated record